Molecule: long non-coding RNA, 1536 nt
Organism: Canis lupus familiaris (dog)
Lineage: Eukaryota; Metazoa; Chordata; Mammalia; Carnivora; Canidae
Exons: 2
Source: RefSeq, a predicted model, not a curated record
UAAGGGAAGGUUUGGUGUACCUAUCUUUGUCUCGGCUGAUUUUAUAACACUUUCGGAGAUGAUUGGCUACUUGAAACGUGGUUUGAUAGAAACUAUUGAUAGAUAGAAGUUGAAAGAAAUACGUUUUUUCGAGCCUGGGGGGGGCGCCGGGUGAGCGGAACCUUCACCUCCGGUGGUUUAGUCUCAUUUUCUUGCUCUAACUUCUAUCCCGCAUUUUAAGAUGGCGGCUGCUUUAACUGGUUCAGGCUUUUUCCGGCAUCUCCUUUCGUCAUUAUAUGAAAUAAUAUUCUUUGUUAAAUGUUAACUUUUACAUCAGAUUGUACACAGCUCUUGAGACGUCCUGCUGAAGACUCGAUGUUCAAACUCUCAAACUGCAUUUCCCUUUUUUGUAACUUGUGUGAUACCCAGCUGCUGUGACACUACUUAAUGAUUUAAAAGCUUUAGAGAGGCAAUAUAAUAGUUAAGAAUGUGAACUUUGGAGCAGAAAUUAUCCAGUUAGAGUUCUGGGAAUGGGCAAGUUAUUUGUAUGCCUCUAUAAAGCGGAUACUUGUUAUCUACGAACAAUAGUUGAGUGCCUAGUAUGUUCUAGACAGUAGGGAUGCAACAGCGAGCUAAACAAAUUUAGGUACCUAGAUUUUAUUUCUUUUUAAUUCUAGGAUUAAAGAGGUCAAUGUGUGGCUUUGAACAGGCCCCUGGCACAAGGCAAUUCAGAUUAUUAAUACUACUAUUUUUAAUCUUCAAAAACUUGCUAAAGAACUUUCUUAGUUUAGUACUUUUCAUUAAUACCGGUCUGUCUUUCGCUGUAAAUAUUUUGAAGGUAUGCGUAAUACAGAAACUGGACGUAAUACUUUCCAAAUUGGAAGAAACUGUGUUAUGUGGGACUGUUGAUUCAGCCUAUAGAAGGUUUUUGAAAGGCAUGUGGCUUGGUAUUUAGCUGUUAAUGUCAGAAUCACAUGAUGAAACGUCAAAAAACAAAAAAUGCAAGAUCCAAACAAUUUUAGUGAGUGGAUAAAGAAGAUCGCUCUUUUGGGGGGAACCUCUGUUCUAGAAAUGAGGUCAAGUAGGCAUUGAUGUUAGUAUGGUAUUUCUUCUGUCAUGUAUCUGUUUGUUUUGAAUUUACUGUCUACAGCCCCUAAAUUCAAACUAUUAAGAGAUCUGUAUUCCUUGUUGAUACUUUCUUGAAAUGCUUAUCAAUGGGAAAUUUUUAGCCAUUAGUAGUAGUUCCUUAGAUCAAGCCUUUGGAUUUUUUUUUUUCCUAAUGCUUACGUUACGAUAUUUUGAGUAUUUAUUAGACCAAGCAGCCCUAUCAAAUAAUCUUACUUGGGUUUUUUGCUGUAUUAUUUAUUUCAUAAGCUGUAGUUUGGUUUUACAGGACUAUUUAAUUAAACAACUAGAAUCAAAAAAAGGGAACUCCCAAGUUGAUUAGUGGUGUUUGAGGACCACAAUUUUACUACUUCCAUUAAACAAAAUAACAUAGAGUGCUUGUAUUUUGGGGAAAUUUUCAGAACUUUACAUAAAAUAAGUGAGCUGAGCCUA